GGCCUGCUGUGAUGACAUUCCAAUUAAAGCACGUGUUAGACUGCUGACGCGGGUGAUGCGAACUGGAGUCUGAGCCUGCC
This 80-nucleotide small nucleolar RNA is filed under the name Homo sapiens (human). RNAcentral describes it as "small nucleolar RNA, C/D box 104 (SNORD104)". The stretch from base 6 to 75 matches the Rfam family "Small nucleolar RNA SNORD104". Rfam says of the family: The members of this family belong to the C/D class of snoRNAs which contain the C (UGAUGA) and D (CUGA) box motifs. Most of the members of the box C/D family function in directing site-specific 2'-O-methylation of substrate RNAs. Lineage: Eukaryota; Metazoa; Chordata; Mammalia; Primates; Hominidae. The record is from RNAcentral.